Molecule: ribosomal RNA, 651 nt
Filed under: Triticum aestivum (bread wheat)
Lineage: Eukaryota; Viridiplantae; Streptophyta; Magnoliopsida; Poales; Poaceae
Description: partial small subunit ribosomal RNA
Source: RNAcentral
AUGGCGGCUUGGCCAAGCGACGCUCCCACCGGCGACGACCUGGACUGGGCGGCGCACACAACGCACAUACGCGCCCAGCUGGAGCGUGCCCAGAAGCGCUGCAAGAAACAAGCUGAUCGCAACCGCACCAAGCGCCAGUUCCAAGUGGGCGAGCAGGUACUUCUGAAACUGCAGCCCUACGUCCAGCAAUCUGUCGUCAGCCGACCCUGCGCCAAACUCGCCUACAAGUUCUUCGGGCCCUACACGGUCAUCGAGCGCAUCGGUUCAUGGUGUACAAACUUGACCUACCGGAAUCCAGCCGCGUGCACCCGGUCUUCCACGUCGCAGUUGAAGCCGUUCAUGCCGGAUUACACGCUGGUGUACGCCGAACUGCCACGGGUGCCCGAUCUGUCCGUGGCAACCAUGACACCCACGCGCAUCCUGGAACGACGCAUGAUGAAGAAGGGCAAUGCCCCAGUCGUCCAGAUCAGGGUGCAAUGGGGGACCAGCACUACUUCAGCCACGACAUGGGAGGACUACGACACCUUACGGCAAUGCUUUCCAGCAGCUCUCAUCUGGGAAGACGAGGACGACAGCCCUGAAGACGGAGCUCGAUCUCAAGGAGGGGAGAAUGUCAUACCUAGCCACUUGUCUGCCACUUGUCCAGUGUGA